AGCAAACAGGCAGAAAUGGAGUGGACUUUCAUACAGUAAGUGUUCCUAUGAAUCUAAAACCUGCUAUGUGAUAUUUCAUUCAUUGUUAUUCACUUCCCUGUACAGGUUAAUUUCUCCUCCGUUCAACAAGCAAUGACACCAGGCCUUGGUGUGAGAGGCUCAGAGAAGAUGCCAACUCUUGUCUGAACUACAUUUCCCAAAAAGCUGUGGGGAAUGACCUGCCAUCUUCAGUCACCUGAUCAAUUGGAAGAAGACAAUUGGUGGAGUCGCAUUUUGAAAACUGUAGCAACGACAUCUGCUGAAGACAGAGGGCAUAUCCUCCGUCAUAUGAACUGCACCAGCUGUUGAGAGGUUUGGAAGAGACUAACUGACUGAGAGACUGAGCAAGUGACUCAGUGACAGAACUGGGAACUGUGGGCAUUUUUAGAAGAUUUUACGAUACAGAUUUACAUGUAUGUUAUGGAGCUGGUCCUGGAAAAUCUGCACUCAAGUCCUCAAAACUGAGAAAGAAGGAAUGUACUGUACAAUAUCUCCUAAAGCUAGCUGUUUCCAUGUGCAAAAGUGGGGUUUAAGAACACUCAGAGUACUGCAUAGCCAGAGGCACACCUCUCCCAACAGUCACAUUUGCAUACUGUACCCCGUACAGUGCUCUGGAUGUGCGCUGUAUUAUUGUCAACCUAUGCUUUUUCAGAUGCUUUGUUGAAGUCACUUUUAGUUGUUGCUUAUUCGUGCGGUGUUUUGAUUGUAAAUUGAACAGCAUGUAAACUGCUAUUCAAUUGAGUUUAGAUUGGGAGAUUGAUUUGAUUCCUCUAAGAUUUUCCACUUUUUCCAUUGAUAAGCUCCUAAUUUGCAUUGACUGUAUAUUUUUGGAUCAUGUUCAUGCUGCCCAAAAAACAUAAGAAGCACAAGCACCUCUCAGCAGGUAUGGAAGCACUGUCUGCUACGAAAGCAGACAGAAAAGUACAAAUAAGAGCUUUGAAUUUGCUGUCCCAAUACAUUUGGAGUGUGCUGUGUACAGUAUAUUGAUUUUGGAUUUUGAAAAUUGUAAACAUAGAUUCAUUUAAACAAGGAAUAAUGCAGUAAGUAACUUAAGCUUUGAUGCAAUGUGAUUAAA
Molecule: long non-coding RNA, 1114 nt
Filed under: Lepisosteus oculatus (spotted gar)
Lineage: Eukaryota; Metazoa; Chordata; Actinopteri; Semionotiformes; Lepisosteidae
Description: lncRNA (ENSLOCG00000021552.1)
Source: RNAcentral